RNAcentral lists this ribosomal RNA (728 nucleotides) under Lecania glauca. RNAcentral's name for it is "SSU rRNA". It matches the Rfam family "Bacterial small subunit ribosomal RNA", at positions 410 to 1181 of the family's 1533-position model. The record is from RNAcentral. Lineage: Eukaryota; Fungi; Ascomycota; Lecanoromycetes; Lecanorales; Ramalinaceae.
UACUAAAGUAAUGUUUAGUACAAUAUCGACUCUGUCGAAUAAAGUUUUGGGUAAAUUUAUGAUAAUGACAUUGUUUACCUAGAUGUCUUGACCAAAUUAUGUGCCAGCAGUCGCGGUAAUACAUAGAAGACAAGUGUUAUUCAUCUUUAGUAGGUUUAAAGGGUACCUAGACAGUAAAUCAAGCCCCUGCUAAGUAGGACGGUACUAAUUUUCUAGAGUUACUUACAAGGGGGCUCUUAAGUACUAAUGGUGUAGAGAUAAAAUUUUGUGAUACCAAUUUUAGAAAUAAAAGUUAUGGCACUGGUAAAGGCGAAAGCAUCCCCUUAUGUGAUAACUGACGUUGAAGGACGAAGGCUUUGAGUCGCGAAUAGGAUUAGAUACCCUAGUAGUCUAAGCAGAGAAUUAUGAGUGUCAUAGAUUAGAUAUUUUCGUUUAUUCUAUAAAUGAAAGUGUAAGCACUCCACCUCAAGAGUAAUUUGGCAACAUUGGAACUGAAAUCAUUAGACCGUUUCUGAAACCAGUAGUGAAGUAUGUUGUUUAAUUUGAUAAUCCGCAAAACACCUUACCACAAUUUGAAUAAAGGUAUAACUUAUACUUUUACAAGCGUUGCACGGCUGUCUACAGUUAAUGUCGUGAGACUUUGGUUAGAUCCAUUAAAUUAACGCAAGCCCUUACUUUAUUUUUAAAUAAAGUUGUUCCCCACUAUAUCGGAUAUGAUAACAGGGACU